Molecule: ribosomal RNA, 714 nt
Filed under: Mucor hiemalis
Lineage: Eukaryota; Fungi; Mucoromycota; Mucoromycetes; Mucorales; Mucoraceae
Description: eukaryotic LSU rRNA
Rfam family: Eukaryotic large subunit ribosomal RNA
Source: RNAcentral
AGCAUAUCAAUAAGCGGAGGAAAAGAAAAUAACAAUGAUUUCCCUAGUAACGGCGAGUGAAGAGGAAAGAGCUCAAAGUUGGAACCUGUUUGGCUUAGCUAAACCGGAUUGUAAACUGUAGAAGUGUUUUCCAGACACGCCUGGUAAAAAAGUCCUUUGGAACAGGGCAUCAUAGAGGGUGAGAAUCCCGUCAUUGGCCAGAGCUGUUGUCUUUUGUGAUACAUUUUCAAAGAGUCAGGUUGUUUGGGAAUGCAGCCUAAAUUGGGUGGUAAAUCUCACCUAAAGCUAAAUAUUUGCGAGAGACCGAUAGCGAACAAGUACCGUGAGGGAAAGAUGAAAAGAACUUUGAAAAGAGAGUUAAACAGUAUGUGAAAUUGUUAAAAGGGAACCGUUUGGAGCCAGACUGGCUUAACUGUAAUCAAUCUAGGCUUUGGCCUGGAUGCACUUGCGGUUUAUGCCGGCCAACGACAGUUUUGUUUGAGGGAAAAAAUUACAUUGAAUGUGGCCCUUCGGGGUGUUAUAGCUUUGUAAAAAAUACCUUGGACUGGACUGAGGAACGCAGUGAAUGCCUUUAGGCAAGAUUGCUGGGUGCUUUCGCUAAUAAAUGCUAGAAUUUCUGCUUCGGGUGGUGCUAGUGUUUAAAGGAGGAACUCGCUUAGUAUAUUUUUUAUUCGCUUAGGUUGUUGGCUUAAUGACUCUAAAUGACCCGUCUGA